UGCAAGAUAGCUCAGUUGGUAGAGCACUAGACUCUUAAACUCAGGGUCGUAGGUUUGAGUCCCACAUUGGGCAA
Molecule: non-coding RNA, 74 nt
Organism: Podarcis lilfordi (Lilford's wall lizard)
Lineage: Eukaryota; Metazoa; Chordata; Lepidosauria; Squamata; Lacertidae
Source: the annotation of a GenBank genome assembly